GUUGAUCCCGCCGGACCUGACUGCUAUCGGAUUGAUACUAAGCCAUGUGAGUCAUUGUAGCGAUACAAGGCAGACGGCUCAGUAACACGUAGCCAACCUACCCUAUGGACGGGGAUAACCUCGGGAAACUGAGGAUAAACCCCGAUAGAUCAUUAUGCUUGGAACGGUUAAUGGUCCAAAUGAUUCGUCGCCGUAGGAUGGGACUGCGGCCUAUCAGCUUGUUGGUGAGGUAAUGGCCCACCAAGGCUAUUACAGGUACGGGCUCUGAGAGGAGAAGCCCGGAGAUGGGUACUGAGACACGGACCCAGGCCCUAUGGGGCGCAGCAGGCGAGAAAACUUUGCAAUGUGCGCAAGCACGACAAGGUUAAUCCGAGUGAUUCCUGCUAAAGGAAUCUUUUGCUAGUCCUAAAAACACUAGCGAAUAAGGGGUGGGCAAGUUCUGGUGUCAGCCGCCGCGGUAAAACCAGCACCUCAAGUGGUCAGGAGGAUUAUUGGGCCUAAAGCAUCCGUAGCCUGCUUUGUAAGUUUCCGGUUAAAUCCAUUAGCUUAACUGAUGGGCCGCCGGAAAAACUGCAAAGCUAGGGAGUGGGAGAGGUAGACGGUACUCAGUAGGAAGGGGUAAAAUCCUUUGAUCUAUUGAAGACCACCAGUGGCGAAGGCGGUCUACCAGAACACGUUCGACGGUGAGGGAUGAAAGCUGGGGGAGCAAACCGGAUUAGAUACCCGGGUAGUCCCAGCUGUAAACGAUGCAGACUCGGUGAUGCCCUGGCUUGUGGCCAGUGCAGUGCCGCAGGGAAGCCGUUAAGUUUGCCGCCUGGGAAGUACGUACGCAAGUAUGAAACUUAAAGGAAUUGGCGGGGGAGCACCACAAGGGGUGAAGCCUGCGGUUCAAUUGGAGUCAACGCCGGGAAUCACUAGUGCGGCCGCCUGCAGGUCGACCAUAUGGGAGA
RNAcentral lists this ribosomal RNA (950 nucleotides) under uncultured archaeon. RNAcentral describes it as "bacterial SSU rRNA". It matches the Rfam family "Archaeal small subunit ribosomal RNA", at positions 7 to 965 of the family's 1478-position model. The record is from RNAcentral.